This 2522-nucleotide unclassified non-coding RNA is filed under the name Hevea brasiliensis (rubber tree). The record is from RNAcentral. Lineage: Eukaryota; Viridiplantae; Streptophyta; Magnoliopsida; Malpighiales; Euphorbiaceae.
AAAGUAUUGAAGCUAGUUUUCUUUUAUUAUAAUUUCAUCAAAUCGGUGAGGGAAGCCAAAGUGGUCUUCCUCUCCAUGAUGUAUAUGUAGCUAAGCACUAUCUUUCUGAAGCUGUAACUUAGUAAUGGUUUAUCUGACCUUAUACUACUUUAACACUUAAGGAACGUGCCUUCUCGGUUCAUUAGUUUCGUGAGGCAUCAUGUACAAGAAGCUUCUACAGCUAAACUUUUUGCGACUCCUUUACAUGGAUCACCAAAUGCAUUUAUUGAAACUCCAAGACUACAGCUUUUUGAUCCAAUGCAAGCCUUCUUUACAAUUGAAAGAGCAUUGCUGCUACUGCAUCGACCAUGGAUAAAGCUCCCGCAUGUUCCUUGAGGAGUGCCAAAGCUUGCAAAUUUGAUUGAUGAGAUGACUUGAUUAGGAUGAGGGCACUCAAGAGAUAGAGUUGGCCCUGACUUUUUUCGUGCAUCGUCUUCCGAAGCCCACAUAUCAAUAGGAAGUGGAUGAGCAUCAGAUAUUCUUGAGCAUACACUUUGUAUCUCUCUUGUUGCAAAAGACAGCUUCGUAGGAUCCCCGCCCAUUUCCUCAAACAACACCAAGACAUUUCCACUGGAUUUCAGCCAUGAACGAGGAACGUGGUAUAGCAGCUGGGAUGGUUUUCCACAAUUUUUGAGACAUUUUUCAGCAUUGUAUCCUCCUCUAUAAUUGCAGGGGUCAGUACAACCGUCAUUCGGUGCAAUAUAGGCAGGCCAAAAUCGACCGAUGCUUUGCCCAUUCACCCAUGCCUCACCCUUCCCCAUUCCAGUAAAAUCCAUCGAAAGAGGGGUAUCACCAGCAGGAGCAUCAAAACUUGCCUUAUACCAUAUUAAUGGUUGGUUUGUAGGCAAUGCAGUUUGUGACUUCCAAAGUGUAGAACCUCCAUUAGAUAAGCCCAAAUCUUCUCCUUUCAAUCCAACCUGAUAUGUCCACUGCUUUGAUGAAAGAUCAGUAGUAGAGCCAUUUUUGAAACCUUUCAAUUGCACUGGACCCGUAAUCCCUGCUCCCUUGAGAUCAAAGAAUGCUCCAUAGUUCUGAAGUCCCACAGUCGCACUCAACAGGUCAAUUUUGUUUUCUCCAGGCACAAGUGUGACUGGAACUUCAAUUGUAAAGUUAGAAUGUCUACUGUUGCCUUUUCCACUUCCUGAUAGCUUUCCAUUAAUAUAAGCAUGAAGAACAUGGCCAAGUGUUUUCACAUGAAGUACCGUUGCAGAUCCAUCUUGAAGGAAAGGCUCAUCAUUUUUUAUAUUGACACUCAGGGAGUACCAGAGAUAAUCGCUUUUAUCAGCUGUAGUAUUUAUCUGUUCCAACAACCCCAUUCUCGUGAAUGCAUUUUCAUUUGAGAUGCCUACAGGCUCAUUCACCGAAGUCCAACCUGAUAGGGAUCCACCAGAUGCAUCAGCUUCCGAAGACCGAGUAACAAAUGUUGAGAUGGUUGAUGCAGAAUUAAUCUUUGCAGUACUAAAAGCAACAUUCUUGCAGUCAGGUAAAAUGCUGACGGACCAUGGAGGUAAAUGAUAUGAGUUUCCAUUGAAGCUCACAGCCGCAUCAGAUUGCGUAGCAGUAUUGGCGAGAAAUGCAGCACACUGUGAAUCAGUUUUAUAAACACUGACCUCUAUAUUAGAGCCCAGAGAAGUGAUGUUUGGUUCUGUUGCCACCAUUGCAGCCUCACAAAGCUUUAUGGCUUUAUGGAGAUCUUUCAAGUGACCCCAUUUUGGUUGAUUUAUAAGCCCGUACUCAUCUAAAGGAGCAUCAUAGUCAUAGCUAGUUGCAAUAAACGGUCCACCACUGGUUCUCCCAAAGUUAGUUCCCCCGUGGUACAUGUAAUAGUUCUGGAAAGUUCCGCCUCGCUGGAAAAAUCGAGCCACAGCGAAAGCGAUGUCUUCCACUGGUCUGUAAGGGACAGGACCACCAAACGACAGAAACCAUCCGGUCCAAUUCUCAGUCCACAUCUUGGGUGUUUUAUCGGAAUUUUGCUUGAAUUGGUCACAAUAAAAUCCAUUGCAAGUGUUAAUAACGGAAGGAGGGGCAUCUGGUUGCUGACACAUAACCCAUGGCACUCCCGUAUUUAAAGACGUAGCCAUUGAUGCUGCCCAGUUCACGUAAGGUUUGGCACGAGGACCAUAACGAGACUCAAUAUCACCAUUGCCAUACUCAUUUUCUAUCUGAGACAAGAUAACCGGCCCACCCUGGGAUGCAUAUAGAUUUUCUUGCUUGAUCAUGUCAACAAUUUUAGCUGUGAAUCGCUUCAUUUCUGCCUUGAACGGUUCAUUGUCGGUUCGAAAUUCAAUUCCAGGAAUGAAAUGCAACCAAAGAGGAAACCCACCAUAGUUCCAUUCUGCACAAACAUAAGGCCCAAUCCUUAUAUGAACAAAUAAGCCAGCUUUCUCCACCAACUUCACAAAAUUAAUCAAAUCUUUCCUUCCUUCAAAAUCAUACUGAUUUCGAACAGGUUCAUGAAGGUUCCAGAAAACAUAAGUCUCUAU